This 1394-nucleotide ribosomal RNA is filed under the name Salmonella enterica subsp. enterica serovar Paratyphi A. RNAcentral's name for it is "bacterial SSU rRNA". It matches the Rfam family "Bacterial small subunit ribosomal RNA". The record is from RNAcentral. Lineage: Bacteria; Pseudomonadati; Pseudomonadota; Gammaproteobacteria; Enterobacterales; Enterobacteriaceae.
AGAGUUUGAUCAUGGCUCAGAUUGAACGCUGGCGGCAGGCCUAACACAUGCAAGUCGAACGGUAACAGGAAGCAGCUUGCUGCUUUGCUGACGAGUGGCGGACGGGGGAGUAAUGUCUGGGAAACUGCCUGAUGGAGGGGGAUAACUACUGGAAACGGUGGCUAAUACCGCAUAACGUCGCAAGACCAAAGAGGGGGACCUUCGGGCCUCUUGCCAUCAGAUGUGCCCAGAUGGGAUUAGCUUGUUGGUGAGGUAACGGCUCACCAAGGCGACGAUCCCUAGCUGGUCUGAGAGGAUGACCAGCCACACUGGAACUGAGACACGGUCCAGACUCCUACGGGAGGCAGCAGUGGGGAAUAUUGCACAAUGGGCGCAAGCCUGAUGCAGCCAUGCCGCGUGUAUGAAGAAGGCCUUCGGGUUGUAAAGUACUUUCAGCGGGGAGGAAGGUGUUGUGGUUAAUAACCGCAGCAAUUGACGUUACCCGCAGAAGAAGCACCGGCUAACUCCGUGCCAGCAGCCGCGGUAAUACGGAGGGUGCAAGCGUUAAUCGGAAUUACUGGGCGUAAAGCGCACGCAGGCGGUCUGUCAAGUCGGAUGUGAAAUCCCCGGGCUCAACCUGGGAACUGCAUUCGAAACUGGCAGGCUUGAGUCUUGUAGAGGGGGGUAGAAUUCCAGGUGUAGCGGUGAAAUGCGUAGAGAUCUGGAGGAAUACCGGUGGCGAAGGCGGCCCCCUGGACAAAGACUGACGCUCAGGUGCGAAAGCGUGGGGAGCAAACAGGAUUAGAUACCCUGGUAGUCCACGCCGUAAACGAUGUCUACUUGGAGGUUGUGCCCUUGAGGCGUGGCUUCCGGAGCUAACGCGUUAAGUAGACCGCCUGGGGAGUACGGCCGCAAGGUUAAAACUCAAAUGAAUUGACGGGGGCCCGCACAAGCGGUGGAGCAUGUGGUUUAAUUCGAUGCAACGCGAAGAACCUUACCUGGUCUUGACAUCCACGGAAGUUUUCAGAGAUGAGAAUGUGCCUUCGGGAACCGUGAGACAGGUGCUGCAUGGCUGUCGUCAGCUCGUGUUGUGAAAUGUUGGGUUAAGUCCCGCAACGAGCGCAACCCUUAUCCUUUGUUGCCAGCGGUCCGGCCGGGAACUCAAAGGAGACUGCCAGUGAUAAACUGGAGGAAGGUGGGGAUGACGUCAAGUCAUCAUGGCCCUUACGACCAGGGCUACACACGUGCUACAAUGGCGCAUACAAAGAGAAGCGACCUCGCGAGAGCAAGCGGACCUCAUAAAGUGCGUCGUAGUCCGGAUUGGAGUCUGCAACUCGACUCCAUGAAGUCGGAAUCGCUAGUAAUCGUGGAUCAGAAUGCCACGGUGAAUACGUUCCCGGGCCUUGUACACACCG